AAGCGUGAUGCAGCCAUGCCGCGUGUGUGAAGAAGGCCUUCGGGUUGUAAAGCACUUUCAGUCGUGAGGAAGGGGUAGUAAUUAAUACUUGCUAUCUUUGACGUUAGCGACAGAAGAAGGACCGGCUAACUCCGUGCCAGCAGCCGCGGUAAUACGGAGGGUCCGAGCGUUAAUCGGAAUUACUGGGCGUAAAGCGUACGCAGGCGGCUUGUUAAGCCAGAUGUGAAAUCCCCGGGCUCAACCUGGGAAUGGCAUUUGGAACUGGCAAGCUAGAGUUUUGUAGAGGGUGGUAGAAUUUCAGGUGUAGCGGUGAAAUGCGUAGAGAUCUGAAGGAAUACCAGUGGCGAAGGCGGCCACCUGGACAAAAACUGACGCUCAUGUACGAAAGCGUGGGGAGCAAACAGGAUUAGAUACCCUGGUAGUCCACGCCGUAAACGAUGUCUACUAGUUGUCUGUGAGUUUAACUCGUGGGUAACGCAGCUAACGCAUUAAGUAGACCGCCUGGGGAGUACGGCCGCAAGGUUAAAACUCAAAUGAAUUGACGGGGGCCCGCACAAGCGGUGGAGCAUGUGGUUUAAUUCGAUGCAACGCGAAGAACCUUACCUGCCCUUGACAUACUGAGAAUUACCAGAGA
RNAcentral lists this ribosomal RNA (634 nucleotides) under Agarivorans sp. Its description in RNAcentral is "bacterial SSU rRNA". It matches the Rfam family "Bacterial small subunit ribosomal RNA", at positions 379 to 1006 of the family's 1533-position model. The record is from RNAcentral. Lineage: Bacteria; Pseudomonadati; Pseudomonadota; Gammaproteobacteria; Alteromonadales; Alteromonadaceae.